GUGCUCACUUCGGCAGCAUAAAUACUAAAGUGGAACAACACAGAGAUCAGCAUGGCCCCUACACAAGGAGAUGACAGGCAAAUUUGUGAAGUGUUGCGUAUUUUU
Non-coding RNA from Erinaceus europaeus (western European hedgehog), 105 nucleotides. Lineage: Eukaryota; Metazoa; Chordata; Mammalia; Eulipotyphla; Erinaceidae. The record is from Rfam.